Mus musculus (house mouse) is the source of this 68-nucleotide non-coding RNA. The record is from Rfam. NCBI's taxonomy places the organism in Eukaryota, Metazoa, Chordata, Mammalia, Rodentia, Muridae.
AGGUUGGCUCAAUGGUUAAGAGCACUGAUUGCUCUUCCAGAGGAUCUGGGUUCAAUUCCCAGCACCUA